Molecule: ribosomal RNA, 460 nt
Filed under: uncultured bacterium
Lineage: Bacteria
Description: partial 16S ribosomal RNA
Rfam family: Bacterial small subunit ribosomal RNA
Source: RNAcentral
CCUACGGGAGUCUGCAGUGAGGAAUAUUGGUCAAUGGACGCAAGUCUGAACCAGCCAUGCCGCGUGCAGGAAGACGGCUCUAUGAGUUGUAAACUGCUUUUGUACGAGGGUAAACGCAGAUACGCGUAUCUGUCUGAAAGUAUCGUACGAAUAAGGAUCGGCUAACUCCGUGCCAGCAGCCGCGGUACUACGGAGGAUUCAAGCGUUAUCCGGAUUUAUUGGGUUUAAAGGGUGCGUAGGCGGUCGGAUAAGUUAGAGGUGAAAUCCCGAGGCUCAACUUCGGAAUUGCCUCUGAUACUGUUCGGCUAGAGAGUAGUUGCGGUAGGCGGAAUGUAUGGUGUAGCGGUGAAAUGCUUAGAGAUCAUACAGGACACCGAUUGCGAAGGCAGCUUACUAAGCUACUUCUGACGUUGAGGCACGAAAGCGUGGGGAGCAAACAGGAUUAGAUACCCCAGUAGUC